UUCUUUAUAAGUUAAUUAAACUAUUGAAUUUUUACUUCAACUUUAACCAAAGUUUAAAGAAU
RNAcentral lists this transfer RNA (62 nucleotides) under Rhipiphorothrips cruentatus. RNAcentral's name for it is "tRNA-Lys". Lineage: Eukaryota; Metazoa; Arthropoda; Insecta; Thysanoptera; Thripidae. The record is from RNAcentral.